Molecule: small RNA, 78 nt
Filed under: uncultured Polaribacter sp.
Lineage: Bacteria; Pseudomonadati; Bacteroidota; Flavobacteriia; Flavobacteriales; Flavobacteriaceae
Description: Flavo-1 RNA
Rfam family: Flavo-1 RNA
Source: RNAcentral
UUUAGCCCUGAUUGAAAUGGCAUCCUUUUUAUGCUGAACUCGUUUCUGUAUAAAAAGAUAUAAUGGAAAGCAGAAAAU